RNAcentral lists this long non-coding RNA (2958 nucleotides) under Ovis aries (sheep). RNAcentral's name for it is "lncRNA (ENSOARG00000026751.1)". The record is from RNAcentral. Lineage: Eukaryota; Metazoa; Chordata; Mammalia; Artiodactyla; Bovidae.
AUGUGUGUGUGUAUGUGUGUGUGGUCAGUUGCUCAGUCGUGUUUGACUCUUUGUGACCUCAUGGACUGUGGCCCACCAGGCUCCUCUGUCCAUGGGAUUUUUCAGGCUGGAAUGCUGGAGUGGGUUGCCAUUUCCUCCUCCAGGGGAUCUUCCCAGACCAGGGAUCAAUCCGCAUCUCUUACAUUGGCAAGCAGAUGCUUUACCAGUGAGCCACCUGGGCUUAAAAAAAGGGAAAAUGUCUGCCCCUCAAGUUCUGCAACGAACUUGUGCGGCUCUGACAGCUGGGUGUAGGUGUGGGAUGAGCAGAAGGGCUCAAGGAACACGAUUGGAGGAGAUGACAUGCUGAUGAGAAGAAAAAGAAGCCUCACAGUCAAAUGAUGUGAUUCCAAUUACAAGGAUCCACUUAAGCCAGCUUUUGAUGUCCUGCCUGCUCCCAGGCUACCGGUUCAGGAAAUGCUGUGUGGUCUAUUCCCAUGAGGCACAUUCUGAGAUGGUCUUCUCAUCGGUAUCCUGGGAAAGACACUCUUCCUUUCCCCAAAGAUUUCACUUCUCUAGAUGAUGCCAACUUUCCUAAUGGGGGACAGGAAAAGGGUCCAGUUUCUCUGCAAGGCCAUUCAAGCUCUUUCCCAGGGCAGGAUGAUCUCUGGGAGAGUUAUAGGAAUUUCCCUGCAGGUUCUGUCAUACUCCAGGCUGCAGAGAAUUCUUGCCUGGUUUUCCCUCCCUGCUAACCGUCACCUCAGACUUCCCAGGUAGCUCAGUGGUAAAGAAUCCAGGUAAAGAACACAGGAGAGGCAGGAUUUGGGUUUGGGUUUGGUCCCUGGGUCGGGAAGAUCCCCCAAAAGAAGAAAUGACAAUCCACUCCAGUAUUCUUGCCUGAAUAAUCUCAUGGACAGAAGAGCCUGGAGGGUUACAGUCCACAAAGAGUCAGACAUGACUGAAGUGACUUUGCAUGCAAUAUUUGAUUUAUAAUGUUAUGUAAUGUCAUUCUGAAGGAGAUCAGCCCUGGGAUUUCUUUGAAAGGAAUGAUGCUAAAGCUGAAACUCCAGUACUUUGGCCACCUCAUGCGAAGAGUUGACUCAUUGGAAAAGACUUUGAUGCUGGGAGGGAUUGGGGGCAGGCAGAGAGUCAGACAUGACUGAGCGACUGAAAUGAACUGAACUGAACUGAAUGUCUUCUGUAUAGCAAGGUGAUUCAGUUGUGUGUGUGGGAGGGGGGGUAACUGCUCACUUGUGUCUGACUCUUUGCAACCCCAUGGAAUAUAGCCCUCCAGGCUCCUCUGUCCAUGGGGUCUCCAUGCAGGAAUACUGGAGUGGGUAGCCAUUCCCUUCUCCAGGGGAUCUUCCCAACCCAGGGAGCCAACCCCAUUGCAGGCAGAUUCUUUACUCUCUGAGCCACCAGGGAAGCCCUGACCUCACAGGGACUUGGUGAAGAUCAUAAGGAAUGGCAUGUGAAAACUUUGAAAAAUAUUAGUUAUGUACAUGUGUGGGUGUUAUGUGCUUUUGCUAUGGCCACGUCUGUCCUUUGAAGUGGCUGAGCUGCAAGUACUUACAGGCACCACCUUACAUCAUAUAGGGUCUGCUACUGCUGCUGCUGCUGCUGCUAAGUCACUUCAGUCGUGUCCGACUCUGUACGACCCCAUAGACGGCAGCCCACUAGGCUCCUCCGUCCAUGGGAUUCUCCAGGCAAGAACACUAGAGUGGGUUGCCAUUUCCUUCUCCAAUGGAUCUAGCAACAUUAAAUUGGCAGCUAGGUUAUAGGAGAAAGGUGUUGAUAUGGAAUUUUAUAUGAGGUAAUCAAUGUAACCUUUAAAAUUUUACUUUUAAUGGCUAUAUUUUUCUGGGCUGGCUUCCAUAUGGAAAUGCUAGAAAGAUAGUACAUUUGAUGAGGAGGUAAUAGGUAAGGAUUUUGUUAGAUUCAAAACCUACAUUGUAGAAUCCUUGGCAUCCUGGCUCUUGUUCAGAUGAAAAUGUAUGGCAGAACGUGUUUUUCAAAGUGAGUUUUUGAAAGAACAGAAACCUGAAAUGUAAUGUGUCCUGUGGAGAAUAAAUGGUUUAACAGGCUUGAAAAUUAAUAAAAUAAACUUGAUUAUUAGGGAUUACUCAUUAGGAUGGUUUAAAAUAAAAAAGAAAAGGGAAAAGAAAAAAAAAAAAGAAGUCUCAAACCAUCUACAGAUGCAAGCAGACAGGUCAAUUUUGGACUUUCUGAAGCCUUGUUAGUAUCUUACUAUUCAAAGCAGGAUGGGAGGACCAGCCCCAAAGGAUCACCCAGGAGUUUGUUAGAGAUGCUGAAAUCUUUGGCUCCACCCCAGACCUUCUGGACCAGAAGUUGCAUUUAGCAAGAUACCUAAGUGACUCUUAGUAACAUUACAGUUUCCUUGGUUUUGGUACUUUUAGUUCUCAGGGCUGAACUUUGGUAGCAAUCCUAAACUAGAUGCCAGGCUAGCCCGCUAGAGUCCUAAGGAGCCAGAUUGCUGACGUUCAGAGUGACAGUUUAGUUCCCAAACACAAUGAGAGACAGAAUUCUGUGAGUGACCAUCUGUCCUUUUGUAUAAGUGGCUGCCUCUGGCCCAGGGCUGUGGGUGAAUCAGAGCAUGUGAUUUAUCAGACAUAUAUUUAGAAAGUAAAUGAUUGCCAAAAGAAAGGAGGGCGUGAAGAAACAAUAUCACCCAUAUCUGUUUCUCAUUAUAAAAUAAUAUUGCUGGUUUGCACGCUUUCUAGAUUCCUUAGGGCAUUCUAUUGCCACUCUGGGUUUGUUUUCUGUUUUUUUUUUUUUUUUAAACAUAUUUAGAAGACAUUUAAUAGAAAUGUUGCUGCAUGGGAACAAAAAUAUUUUUCUCACAAAAUGUUCCCAUUCAAUAAGUUGCUGCAUAUUUUUGUUCCAUAUGGUGCUUAAGCUGACAGUGUCUGUAGGCAAUGCAAUUGACAGAGCAUCAGAGAAGUAGACUUAUACAUUUAAAGU